Molecule: long non-coding RNA, 1477 nt
Filed under: Chrysolophus pictus (golden pheasant)
Lineage: Eukaryota; Metazoa; Chordata; Aves; Galliformes; Phasianidae
Description: lncRNA (ENSCPIG00010002649.1)
Source: RNAcentral
NNNNNNNNNNNNNNNNNNNCCGCCGCCUCCCGUCGGGUCUGCCUCUGUCGAGUCCCUGCCACCGCCUGGCCCCAGAGGGCUACUCCCAGCCCGGUCCCCUGUGUUGUCAGCGGGCCCCAGGGUGCUGCCCCGCAGCGGGCCGCCUCGAGCCCGGUCUCCACAGCCGUCCGUCCCGGAGCCAUCCCCUGCCCAGUCCCUGCCGCUGCUCUCAGCCCCAGAGAUGCCGCCCCUCUCGCAGUCCCGGUCCCUGCAGACUCUCACUGCCGGACACAACUCGUCCCCAUCACUGCUUUUAUCAGGCCCGGAUGCACUCCCCCUGCCCCUGUCCAGGUCCCUUCAGACGCUUUCCACCAGGCUCCCCCCAUCCUCACGAGAGGGGCCCAAGGUAUGGACCCCCAACAGCCCAGUGCGACCUCGAGCCACACUGCUGCAUGCUGCAGGGCCCCCCUCACCUCCAGCCCUGCCACAGCCAGCAGGCCCCGGGGGGCAGCCCCUCUGCUCCCAGCCCCUUCCUGCCAGUCCACUCCUGUCCCGGUCUGUGCUGCCAGCAUCAGACCCCCAGGGGCCUCCAGCUAGCACCCCCCCAGCCCCAAUACCUGUUUUCCGCAGCAUCAGGUGCCAACUUGCUGUGCUGGAGGUGUCUGAUGACAAAGGGAGACCUCUCCGUGCAGUGCCCCAGAGGAGCUUAUCUGCACAUGUCCCAAGCCGGGGGCCGACGGUGCCACUGGGUCGGCGGGCGCACGCUUGGCUGGUGGCGGUGUCAGCAGGGCGCUGGGCCCAAGUGCGGGGACUUUUCCUGGAGGAGCCAGAGCUGGCCCUGCAGCGGGAUUUCGUGUCGGGCUUCACGGUGCGGCACUGGCUGGCCAAGCAUGGUGAUGGGGCAGGCCUGCAGGAGCUGGCCAAAGCAGCACGCCAGGCUGGGCUGGCAUUGGACGUGGAUGCUCGAUCUGGCUGCGGGUACACUCCAUUGCACCUGGCUGCCAUACAUGGUCACACGCUUGUCAUCAAGGUGUUGGUGCUGCAGCUGGGCUGCCAGGUACAGGUGCGGGAUGGCAGCGGGCGCCGGCCCUGGGAGUACCUGGGCAGCAGCACCUCCGGGGAGAUCUGGCAGCUCCUGCAGGCACCCCGGGGCACGAUUAUGUUCCCCACGCAGCCCCUGGCCCGUAGUGUGUCCUCAGCCAGCAAGGCUCUGCCGUCUGCAGGCCGGGCACCGCUGGCUGCGUGCCUUAAACCACAGCGCGGCCGCCGGGCAGCAUCCCACCAAGCUGGCAGUGAGAGCGACUGACGGACAGCAGCACGCACCCCCUGCACAGGAGACUGGAUCCAAGAGGAAGGCAGGUGGGCAGGAAAAGCUACAAACCCAACUGAACUUCUUGAGGAGUGUAUUGUUAAAUUAUUGCAAUGAAACACUGUCUGAGUCUCUUUGCUCUCCCUUCAAUUUCUUGCUUUUCUGAGAGCAAAAUGAUGCAGCUCCUUG